UGUGAAUCCCCUCUUUAGGAACCUGGAAAUUCCAAUGCAUGAAGGAAAACUGUUUACAUGAAAGAAAACUAUUGGGGAGAGAUCAAGAACCAUGACUGCAUGCAAAGCUUUCCUUGGCUGAAGGCAUCAAGGAGGCAUCAAGCCACAGGAGAGAGUAUCCUGGCUUGCAGUUCAAAGGCCUUUCCACAGUGACGCCAGCACACUUGUUCAUUGAUGUUCCAUUCUGGCCUUGCUCUGCCAGAUCCACCCAGAGAAGACUGAAGCCAAGAACAAACAGGGGCUCAAAAAGGUGGGCUUUCUUUGAGGCAUCCUCAGGUGUGAGGUCCUGAAGAAGGAUGCAGGUUGUGCUUCAGAUUUGUGUAAGUGCUUUGAGUUCAUCAGGCUUCUUGAAAAGGUGGAAAUGCCAUCACAUGCUCAGAACCAAGGGUACCAACAGCAGAGAUAUUUCUGUGGCAAAAAAAAAAGUCCUUUUUUUUUUUUUUUCUUUUCCA
Non-coding RNA from Taeniopygia guttata (zebra finch), 491 nucleotides. The record is from RefSeq and is a predicted model, not a curated record. Lineage: Eukaryota; Metazoa; Chordata; Aves; Passeriformes; Estrildidae.